ACUAAUUCAACUUUCUAGCCUCAUCAGUAGUACCUCAUAAAAAUUCUAUGCAUUGAUUGUCCACCAUUUUCAGCACACUUUGAGGGAGAAUAAGACUGAACCCCAGCUAUAUAGUGAAAACAGAACUGAGUUGAUGAUCUGAAUUUUGCCUGCAUAGGACAAGUGUCUUGUUUUUGGGUCCCUGAUCUUAGCUGUAAUCUUGAUACAUAGUUAGUGGCAUUCUAGUUUACUUCAUUUCUUAUGAGAUAAUGGAAAACCAAGAUAUUUUAUGUGGAAUGUCCCUACUACAAAACCAGUUAUCUCCAAUAAUUUUUGUUUAGUUAUAUCAUUCACCCCUGCAAUGAACCUACUGGAUUUCUCAUUGUUUGCAACUAGUCCAGUGGUGGCAGAGAAGUAUUGAAUAGCUUUCAUUACCCUUAUCACUGAUGGUUCUGCCCCUUUACACACUAUCAUUAAAUCAUCAACAAAUGUUAGAUGGGUAAGUUGUUGAUUCUUGUACAUUGGAUGGAAUCUAAAAUUAGGCAACUUACUCAUCCUAUUCAUGAUCCUAGAGAAGUAUUCCAUUACCAGGACAAAGAGGAGAGGUGAUAUGGGGUCGCCCUGCCUCAAGCCUCUUCUGCCUGGAAAGAAACCACACCCCUCCCCAUUUACUUUGACAGAGAACCAUGUAGUUGUAACACACUCCAUCAUCAGAUUAGUGAAUUUUGGGGGGAAACCAAAACCAUCAAGCAUUUCCCUCAAAAAUUUCCAUUUAAACAUAUCAUAGGCUUUUUUAAGGUCAAUCUUUAUUAGGCAUCUUGGGGAGGUCUGCCUAUUAUAGUGCCUCAACAAGUCAUGGCAUACUAGCACAUUCUGAAUUAGUGACCUCUCUUUCACAAAAGCAGCCUGAUUAGAACUUACUAUUGUUGGUAGAAUAGUGUUAAGCCUACUAUAGAUAAAUUUAGAUAUGCAUUUGUACAUGACAUUGCAACAUGCAAUUGGCCUGUACUGACUAGCAUUAGCAGGACUGUCCA
Long non-coding RNA from Lycium barbarum (goji berry), 1013 nucleotides. RefSeq lists it as uncharacterized. The record is from RefSeq and is a predicted model, not a curated record. The transcript has 2 exons. Lineage: Eukaryota; Viridiplantae; Streptophyta; Magnoliopsida; Solanales; Solanaceae.